CCCUGUGACUGGGGGCUGCCAGGCAGGAGGCGUGGCUCCUGGUGUCUCCUCUGGCCGCUCUCCUCCCCAGGG
MicroRNA precursor from Bison bison bison, 72 nucleotides. Lineage: Eukaryota; Metazoa; Chordata; Mammalia; Artiodactyla; Bovidae. The record is from Ensembl.